Molecule: long non-coding RNA, 929 nt
Organism: Capsicum annuum
Lineage: Eukaryota; Viridiplantae; Streptophyta; Magnoliopsida; Solanales; Solanaceae
Exons: 2
Source: RefSeq, a predicted model, not a curated record
UUUAUUUCUUCGCGAGUAUUUUAUCGUUCUUUGUUGAAAUUGUUGUAUUGUAAGCCUAUGGUUUUGUACAUUUUACUUUGGAUUUUGCAAUUCAGUAAUGUUUUUGAUUAUAUUCUUUGUUUAUUUGGGAAUUCCUUUUUUUGGGUUCUUGGAAUUUGGAAUGAAUUAGAAGCAAUAUUCCAAUGCAGCAGCUACAGCUUUGUACAACUACCUGGGCAAUGCCAGCCCUGCUCAUGAUGUGGGCGACAUGCUUUCAUUGCUAAGUUUCUUCAGUCUGCACAUCGGAACAUUUGUCCUCUCAAACUCUAAUUUUGACUAUCUUCUUUAUAUCAAAAUUAGUUUUUCAUAAGAGGAAUACAUAUAGUGGAAGAUAGAAAGUCGGAGGCAUUACAACAGAAAAUUGAUCAUGCUUACUUAGCUUCAAAGGUUGUUGUAGGAAGAGUGGGAAAGAUGCCAGUCAGCGACACUGAAAUUGGUGAAUCACAUAUUGCUAGCACCAUCUAUGCUACUUUGCCACUAUUUUUUUUUUCACUAACACCUUCAAGAUUGAGCAUUUCUCCAACCCUCCCUCUGUGUUCUUGUGGGUGUUCAAUCAAAUUCCAAGCUCAUUUUAAAAGAAUCACAUCUUUUAUGUCUUUAUAGUGUUGAGGAGGUCAAGAAUGGCUGGAAAAAGUUGAGUUUUGGGGUUGGAACUCAGAAAACGGUGGAGCUGCAGCAACAAGAUUGUAAUAGCUGAGAAGUACAUGAAGUAUAGGGACUCUAAACAAUCGGUUGGGGUUAGAGUUAAAGAUCUUCUUGAUUGAAUGAUCCUUGAAGAAAGCAUAGGCCAAAUAAUUUUGAUUGAUAAGUCUGAAUCUAUAAUUAAAAUCAUGAAGCACUACUAUUAUGUCGGAACAUUUUUAAAUCUUUAAAAUACAGCCAUUUCCAUA